This 394-nucleotide ribosomal RNA is filed under the name Mycoplasmopsis bovigenitalium. Its description in RNAcentral is "bacterial SSU rRNA". It matches the Rfam family "Bacterial small subunit ribosomal RNA", at positions 380 to 756 of the family's 1533-position model. Lineage: Bacteria; Bacillati; Mycoplasmatota; Mycoplasmoidales; Metamycoplasmataceae. The record is from RNAcentral.
AAUCUGAUGGACGACACAGCGUGCAGGAUGAAGGUCCUAUGGGUUGUAAACUGCUGUGGCUAAUGGAAUAAAAAUAGUGUAGGAAAUGCCACUAUAUUGAAUGUACCUUAUUAGAAAGCAACGGCUAACUAUGUGCCACCAGCCGCGGUAAUACAUAGGUUGCAAGCGUUAUCCGGAAUUAUUGGGCGUAAAGCGUCUGUAGGUUGUUUGUUAAGUCUUGGCGUGUAAAUUUUGGGGCUCACCCCAAACCGCGUUGGAUACUGGCAACUAAGUUAUGUAGAGGUUAGCCGAAAUUCCUUGUGAGAAGCGGUGUGGAAAUUGGCUAAAUAAUAAGGAAAAACACCAUACAUGGCGAAGGCAACUAACUUGGACAUUACCCUGACCUGAUAAACAA